RNAcentral lists this ribosomal RNA (497 nucleotides) under uncultured bacterium. RNAcentral's name for it is "partial 16S ribosomal RNA". It matches the Rfam family "Bacterial small subunit ribosomal RNA", at positions 36 to 507 of the family's 1533-position model. The record is from RNAcentral.
UCUUCCCUCUGGCGGCGUGCCUAAUACAUGCAAGUCGAGCGAACGGACGAGAAGCUUGCUUCUCUGAUGUUAGCGGCGGACGGGUGAGUAACACGUGGAUAACCUACCUAUAAGACUGGGAUAACUUCGGGAAACCGGAGCUAAUACCGUAUGAUAUUUUGAACCGCAUGGUUCAAAAGUGAAAGACGGUCUUGCUGUCACUUAUAGAUGGAUCCGCGCUGCAUUAGCUAGUUGUUAAGGUAACGGCUUACCAAGGCAACGAUGCAUAGCCGACCUGAGAGAGUGAUAGGCCACACUGGAACUGAGACACGGUCCAGACUCCUACGGGAGGCAGCAGUAGGGAAUCUUACGCAAUGGGCGAAAGCCUGACGGAGCAACGCCGCGUGAGUGAUGAAGGUCUUCGGAUCGUAAAACUCUGUUAUUAGGGAAGAACAUAUGUGUAAGUAACUGUGCACAUCUUGACGGUAACUAAUCAGAAAGCCACGGCUAACUACGUG